RNAcentral lists this ribosomal RNA (902 nucleotides) under uncultured Flavobacterium sp. RNAcentral's name for it is "bacterial SSU rRNA". It matches the Rfam family "Bacterial small subunit ribosomal RNA", at positions 10 to 916 of the family's 1533-position model. Lineage: Bacteria; Pseudomonadati; Bacteroidota; Flavobacteriia; Flavobacteriales; Flavobacteriaceae. The record is from RNAcentral.
AGUUUGAUUCUGGCUCAGGAUGAACGCUAGCGGCAGGCCUAACACAUGCAAGUCGAGGGGUAUUCAGUUUUCGGACUGGAGAGACCGGCGCACGGGUGCGUAACGCGUAUGCAAUCUACCUUUUACAGGGGAAUAGCCCAGAGAAAUUUGGAUUAAUGCCCCAUAGUAUAUAAACUUCGCAUGUUGUUUAUAUUAAAGUUCCAACGGUAAAAGAUGAGCAUGCGUCCCAUUAGUUAGUUGGUAAGGUAACGGCUUACCAAGACGAUGAUGGGUAGGGGUCCUGAGAGGGAGAUCCCCCACACUGGUACUGAGACACGGACCAGACUCCUACGGGAGGCAGCAGUGAGGAAUAUUGGACAAUGGGCGCAAGCCUGAUCCAGCCAUGCCGCGUGCAGGAAGAAGCAUCUAUGGUGUGUAAACUGCUUUUGUACAGGAAGAAACACUCCCUCGUGAGGGAGCUUGACGGUACUGUAAGAAUAAGGAUCGGCUAACUCCGUGCCAGCAGCCGCGGUAAUACGGAGGAUCCAAGCGUUAUCCGGAAUCAUUGGGUUUAAAGGGUCCGUAGGCGGUUUAAUAAGUCAGUGGUGAAAGCCCAUCGCUCAACGAUGGAACGGCCAUUGAUACUGUUAGACUUGAAUUACUGGGAAGUAACUAGAAUAUGUAGUGUAGCGGUGAAAUGCUUAGAUAUUACAUGGAAUACCAAUUGCGAAGGCAGGUUACUACCAGUGGAUUGACGCUGAUGGACGAAAGCGUGGGGAGCGAACAGGAUUAGAUACCCUGGUAGUCCACGCCGUAAACGAUGGAUACUAGCUGUUGGGCGCAAGUUCAGUGGCUAAGCGAAAGUGAUAAGUAUCCCACCUGGGGAGUACGUUCGCAAGAAUGAAACUCAAAUGAAUUGACGG